UGGGGAGUACGGCCGCAAGGUUAAAACUCAAAGGAAUUGACGGGGACCCGCACAAGCGGUGGAUGAUGUGGAUUAAUUCGAUGCAACGCGAAAAACCUUACCUACCCUUGACAUGCCAGGAAGGCGCGAGAGAUUGCGCUGUGCCUUCGGGAACCUGGACACAGGUGCUGCAUGGCUGUCGUCAGCUCGUGUCGUGAGAUGUUGGGUUAAGUCCCGCAACGAGCGCAACCCUUGCCACUAGUUGCCAUCAUUUGGUUGGGCACUUUAAUGGGACUGCCGGUGACAAGCCGGAGGAAGGUGGGGAUGACGUCAAGUCCUCAUGGCCCUUAUGGGUAGGGCUUCACACGUCAUACAAUGGCCGGUACAGAGGGAAGCGAAGCUGCGAAGUGGAGCGGAUCCUUAAAAGCCGGUCGUAGUCCGGAUUGCAGUCUGCAACUCGACUGCAUGAAGUCGGAAUCGCUAGUAAUCGCGGAUCAGCAUGUCGCGGUGAAUACGUUCCCGGGUCUUGUACACACCGCCCGUCACACCAUGGGAGUGGGUUUCACCAGAAGCAGGUAGCUUAACCGUGAGGGGGGCGCUUGCCACGGUGGGAUUCAUGACUGGGGUGAAGUCGUAACAAGGCAGCCGUA
This 629-nucleotide ribosomal RNA is filed under the name uncultured Pseudomonadota bacterium. RNAcentral describes it as "bacterial SSU rRNA". It matches the Rfam family "Bacterial small subunit ribosomal RNA", at positions 874 to 1504 of the family's 1533-position model. The record is from RNAcentral. Lineage: Bacteria; Pseudomonadati; Pseudomonadota.